GAGAUUUGGCUCAGUGGUAGAGCACUUGCCUAGCAAGCACAAGGCCCUGGGUUCGGUCCCCAGCUCA
This 67-nucleotide transfer RNA is filed under the name Rattus norvegicus (Norway rat). It matches the Rfam family "tRNA". From Rfam's summary of the family: Transfer RNA (tRNA) molecules are approximately 80 nucleotides in length. Lineage: Eukaryota; Metazoa; Chordata; Mammalia; Rodentia; Muridae. The record is from Rfam by way of RNAcentral.